This is a long non-coding RNA of Drosophila grimshawi, 581 nucleotides long. RefSeq lists it as uncharacterized. NCBI's taxonomy places the organism in Eukaryota, Metazoa, Arthropoda, Insecta, Diptera, Drosophilidae. The transcript has 3 exons. The record is from RefSeq and is a predicted model, not a curated record.
GAAUUCCAAGUGAAGUUCAAGGCUGUUAGGCGUUUGCUAAUGAAGCACUCAAAUUGAAACCUCCUCGAAGAACCGUUUUUACCGCUAACCAUGCAACCAAUUGUGUUUUCUUUCAAACUGCUGAGGCAAUGUUUCCUGGAAGCCCAAAAACAGACAACGAAGAAAAACAAAAAUAAAAUCGACAACAAACAAGAGAAAAACACUAAAAAAGGCAACCUUGUUAGCACUUGGGGCAAAGUCGGUGGACUCGAAAUGCACCCACAAGAAAUGCAACAAACUUGUGGCAAUUUACAUAACAAGACCAGCUCCCAAGGCGAGAGGCAGACAAUCAGUGGCGCUACAGCAACCCAAAGCCUGUCAACGCAUAAUCCAUCAAACAGCAAUGUACAGCAACAACAACAUCAGGAAGUUGUCACACUUCAUCAAGAGUCCAUUCCUAACUCAAUACACGUCGAUCCGAACCCAUACCCGUAUCCGUACCCAAGCCCGAACCAUUCCCAGAAAAAAGAAACCAACUUGUUGGCGUGCCAAGGCCAAACGUGUCGUUGCGCCAAACAAUUUGUAAGCCAUCAUUUCAAUUA